UACAGAGGUCUCAACCGUUGUUCGGAAUUACUGGGCGUAAAGGGCGCGUAGGCGGCCUGCUAAGUCGAACGUGAAAUCCCUGGGCUCAACCCAGGAACUGCGUCCGAUACUGGUUGGCUUGAAUCCGGGAGAGGGACGUGGAAUUCCAGGUGUAGCGGUGAAAUGCGUAGAUAUCUGGAGGAACACCGGUGGCGAAGGCGACGUCCUGGACCGGUAUUGACGCUGAGGCGCGAAAGCCAGGGGAGCAAACGGG
Molecule: ribosomal RNA, 253 nt
Filed under: uncultured bacterium
Lineage: Bacteria
Description: partial 16S ribosomal RNA
Rfam family: Bacterial small subunit ribosomal RNA
Source: RNAcentral